CUGAACAGUUACGUAUUAUCUGCGGGCAUCGUGUCUUCGAAAGUUUGAUCAUAGCUCCAGAUUGAACGCUGGCGGGAUGCUUUACACUGCGAGUCGAACAGCGGCUGGACUUCGGUGGUGGCAGUGAACAGGGUAUUAUUCUUUGUCAGACGUGCCUAGUAGCGGGGAUAACUACGCAGCUGUAGCUAAUACCGCUCACCCUUCGGGGAAAGCGGGGACCUUCGGGCUCGCACUAGUAGGCAGCCAGUGAAUCAUCGGAUUAGCUAGUUGGUGGGAUAACGGCUCCUCAGGCGGCGAUCGUAGCUGGUUCAGAGGACGACCAACCCACACUGGGACUGGACAGCCAGACUCUGGAGGCAACGGUGGGGAAUUUUUGGACAAUGGAGGAAACCUGAUCAACCAUCCCGCGUGUCUGAUGAAGGCCUUCGGGUUGUAAAGCACUUUGGCAGGAAAGAAACAGCACGGAUAAUACCCCGAUGCAACUUACAAUGGCUACCGCAGAAUAAGCCUCCGGCUAACUACGUGCAGCUGGCCUGCGGUAAUACGUAAGGAGUGCAAGCGUUAAUCGGAGAUUACUGGGCGUCUUGCAGCGUGCGCAGGCGGUUCAGGAAAGAAAGAUGUGAAAUCCCGAGCUUAACUUUGGAACUGCAUUUUUAACUACCGAGCUAGGUGUCAGAGGGAGGUGGAAUUCCGCGUGUAGCAGUGAAAUGCGUAGAUAUGCGGGAGAGGAACACCGAUGGCGAAGGCAGCCUCCUGGGAUAACACUGACGCUCAUGCACGAAAGCGUGGGGAGCAAACAGGAUUAGAUACCCUGGUAGUCCACGCCCUAAACGAUAUCAACUAAGCUGUUGGGGCCUUCGGGCCUUGGUAGCGCAGCUAACGCGUGAGAGAUUGACCGCCUGGGAAGUACGGUCGCAAGAUUAAAACUCAAAGGAAUUGACGAGGCCACACAAGCGGUGGAUGAUGUGGAUUAAUUCGAUGCAACGCGAAAAACCUUACCUACCCUUGACAUGUCUGGAAUCCCGAAAGAGAUUUGGGGUGCUCGCAAGAGAACCGGAACACAGGUGCUGCAUGGCUGUCGUCAGCUCGUGUCGUGAGAUGUUGGGUUAAGUCCCGCAACGAGCGCAACCCUUGUCAUUAGUUGCUACGAAGGGCACUCUAAUGAGACUGCCGGUGACAAACCGGAGGAAGGUGGGGAUGACGUCAAGUCCUCAUGGCCCUUAUGGGUAGGGCUUCACACGUCAUACAAUGGUCGGGACAGAGGGUCGCCAACCCAUAGAAGUCCAAUCCCAGAAACCCGAUCGUAGUCCGGAUCGCAGUCUGCAGCUCGACUGCGUGAAGUCGGAAUCGCUAGUAAUCGCGGAUCAGCAUGUCGCGGUGAAUACGUUCCCGGGUCUUGUACACACCGCCCGUCACACCAUGGGAGUGGGUUUUACCGAAGUAGUUAGCCUAACCGUAAGGAGGGCGAUUACCACGGUAGGAUUCAUGACUGGGGUGAAGUCGUAAUGAGUAG
This 1513-nucleotide ribosomal RNA is filed under the name uncultured Bordetella sp. Its description in RNAcentral is "partial 16S-23S ribosomal RNA intergenic spacer". It matches the Rfam family "Bacterial small subunit ribosomal RNA". Lineage: Bacteria; Pseudomonadati; Pseudomonadota; Betaproteobacteria; Burkholderiales; Alcaligenaceae. The record is from RNAcentral.